UUCUAAUAAGUUUAUACUAAUAAUGGCAUUUGUUCCAAGGGGUUUGGCCGUUUGGGGAUGGCUCAACACCCAAUAGUACAAGAAGAAUCGUGUAGCAAGAGCUUUUUCGGCUAUAUGCCAAAUUGCCAACAGGUAAUUAUCAAAUUUCUCUAAGGUUCUGGACAACAUAUCAGUACAGAAGCUACUUGUAUAACUGGACAUUUUAAGCAUCCACAGUAUAGGGCUGGAGAUUCAUAUUUACUCGAGUGUUUCUCUUUACUAAGUCUAGAUGUUUGUUUUAUCACACAAGGGAAUCAGGGAAAGGUGAAGGGUAAGGAAAAUAGUGGAAGUCAAACCCAUACUUAGUGUGAAAGACUUCCAACGAUAACACUAAGGUAUAAGCAUUGGUCAUAUGUAGUGAAAAGUUAAUCCUCAGCAUCUGAAUAUGGUGGAC
This 433-nucleotide long non-coding RNA is filed under the name Nicotiana tabacum (common tobacco). RNAcentral's name for it is "long non-coding RNA (NTAB_LNC011923)". Lineage: Eukaryota; Viridiplantae; Streptophyta; Magnoliopsida; Solanales; Solanaceae. The record is from RNAcentral.